This 431-nucleotide ribosomal RNA is filed under the name uncultured bacterium. Its description in RNAcentral is "bacterial SSU rRNA". It matches the Rfam family "Bacterial small subunit ribosomal RNA", at positions 917 to 1344 of the family's 1533-position model. The record is from RNAcentral.
GGCCCGGCACAAGCGGUGGAGUAUGUGGUUUAAUUCGAUGCAACGCGCAGAACCUUACCAGCCCUUGACAUGUGGAGUUUGGUUAUCAGAGAUGAUUUCCUUCAGUUCGGCUGGCUCCAACACAGGUGCUGCAUGGCUGUCGUCAGCUCGUGUCGUGAGAUGUUGGGUUAAGUCCCGCAACGAGCGCAACCCACGUCUUUAGUUGCCAGCAUUUAGUUGGGCACUCUAGAGAGACUGCCGGUGAUAAACCGGAGGAAGGUGUGGAUGACGUCAAGUCAUCAUGCCCCUUACAUCCUGGGGCUACACACGUACUACAAUGCUACGGACAAAGGGCAGCAAGUUCGCGAGGACAAGCAAAUCCCAUAAACCGUGGCUCAGUUCAGAUCGUAGGCUGCAACUCGCCUACGUGAAGGCGGAAUCGCUAGUAAUCG